Molecule: transfer RNA, 86 nt
Filed under: Patescibacteria group bacterium
Lineage: Bacteria
Description: tRNA-Leu
Rfam family: tRNA
About the family: Transfer RNA (tRNA) molecules are approximately 80 nucleotides in length.
Source: RNAcentral
GCGCAGGUGUCGUAAUUGGUAGCCGAGCACCCUUGAGGUGGGUGUGCCCUACGGGCGUGGAGGUUCGAGUCCUCUCCUGCGCACCA